AGCAGCCGCGGUAAUUCCAGCUACAAUAGCGUAUAUUAAAGUUGUUGCAGUUAAAAAGCUCGUAGUUGAAUUUCGGGGUUAGUAGGUUGGUCAUGCCUCUGGUAUGUACUGGUCUCACUGAUUCCUCCUUCCUGAUGAACCUUAAUCCCAUUAAUUUGGUGUUUUGGGGAAUUUGGACUGUUACUUUGAAAAAUUAGAGUGUUUAAAGCAGGCAUUUUUGCUUGAAUACAUUAGCAUGGAAUAAUAAAAUAGGACGGCAUGAUUCUAUUUUGUUGGUUUCUAGGAUCACCGUAAUGAUUAAUAGGGAUAGUUGGGGGCAUUAGUAUUCAAUUGUCAGAGGUGAAAUUCUUGGAUUUAUUGAAGACUAACUACUGCGAAAGCAUUUGCCAAGGAUGUUUUCAUUAAUCAAGAACGAAGUUAGGGGAUCGAAGACGAUCAGAUACCGUCGUAGUCUUAACCAUAAACUAUGACCG
This 473-nucleotide ribosomal RNA is filed under the name uncultured Glomus. Its description in RNAcentral is "SSU rRNA". It matches the Rfam family "Eukaryotic small subunit ribosomal RNA", at positions 569 to 1045 of the family's 1831-position model. The record is from RNAcentral. Lineage: Eukaryota; Fungi; Glomeromycota; Glomeromycetes; Glomerales; Glomeraceae.